This 253-nucleotide ribosomal RNA is filed under the name uncultured bacterium. RNAcentral's name for it is "partial 16S ribosomal RNA". It matches the Rfam family "Bacterial small subunit ribosomal RNA", at positions 524 to 776 of the family's 1533-position model. The record is from RNAcentral.
UACAGAGGUGGCAAGCGUUGUUCGGAAUUACUGGGCGUAAAGGGCGCGUAGGUGGCCUUCUUAGUCAGACGUGAAAUCCCCGGGCUCAACCUGGGAACUGCAUUUGUGACUGCAUCGCUGGAGUGCGGCAGAGGGGGAUGGAAUUCCGCGUGUAGCAGUGAAAUGCGUAGAUAUGCGGAGGAACACCGAUGGCGAAGGCAAUCCCCUGGGCCCGCACUGACGCUCAUGCACGAAAGCGUGGGGAGCAAACAGG